AGAGUUUGAUCAUGGCUCAGGAUGAACGCUGGCGGCGUGCCUAAUACAUGCAAGUCGAACGAACUUCCGUUAAUUGAUUAUGACGUACUUGUACUGAUUGAGAUUUUAACACGAAGUGAGUGGCGGACGGGUGAGUAACACGUGGGUAACCUGCCCAGAAGUAGGGGAUAACACCUGGAAACAGAUGCUAAUACCGUAUAACAGAGAAAACCGCAUGGUUUUCUUUUAAAAGAUGGCUCUGCUAUCACUUUUGGAUGGACCCGCGGCGUAUUAGCUAGUUGGUGAGGUAAAGGCUCACCAAGGCAGUGAUACGUAGCCGACCUGAGAGGGUAAUCGGCCACAUUGGGACUGAGACACGGCCCAGACUCCUACGGGAGGCAGCAGUAGGGAAUCCUCCACAAUGGACGCAAGUCUGAUGGAGCAACGCCGCGUGAGUGAAGAAGGGUUUCGGCUCGUAAAGCUCUGUUGUUAAAGAAGAACGUGGGUAAGAGUAACUGUUUACCCAGUGACGGUAUUUAACCAGAAAGCCACGGCUAACUACGUGCCAGCAGCCGCGGUAAUACGUAGGUGGCAAGCGUUAUCCGGAUUUAUUGGGCGUAAAGCGAGCGCAGGCGGUCUUUUAAGUCUAAUGUGAAAGCCUUCGGCUCAACCGAAGAAGUGCAUUGGAAACUGGGAGACUUGAGUGCAGAAGAGGACAGUGGAACUCCAUGUGUAGCGGUGAAAUGCGUAGAUAUAUGGAAGAACACCAGUGGCGAAGGCGGCUGUCUGGUCUGCAACUGACGCUGAGGCUCGAAAGCAUGGGUAGCGAACAGGAUUAGAUACCCUGGUAGUCCAUGCCGUAAACGAUGAUUACUAAGUGUUGGAGGGUUUCCGCCCUUCAGUGCUGCAGCU
Molecule: ribosomal RNA, 891 nt
Filed under: uncultured bacterium
Lineage: Bacteria
Description: bacterial SSU rRNA
Rfam family: Bacterial small subunit ribosomal RNA
Source: RNAcentral